UGGGGAAUCUUGCGCAAUGGACGAAAGUCUGACGCAGCAACGCCGCGUGGGUGACGAAGGCCUUUGGGUCGUAAAGCCCUGUCAGAAGGGAAGAAGUCGUCUGUAGUUAAUACCUGCAGGCGUUGACGGUACCUUCAGAGGAAGCACCGGCUAACUCCGUGCCAGCAGCCGCGGUAAGACGGAGGGUGCAAGCGUUGUUCGGAAUCACUGGGCGUAAAGCGAGUGUAGGCGGCUUGGUAAGUCGGGUGUGAAAUCCCAGGGCUCAACCCUGGAACUGCGCCCGAUACUGCCAUGGCUUGAGUACGAGAGAGGGUUGCGGAAUUGUCGGUGUAGAGGUGAAAUUCGUAGAU
This 350-nucleotide ribosomal RNA is filed under the name uncultured bacterium. RNAcentral's name for it is "bacterial SSU rRNA". It matches the Rfam family "Bacterial small subunit ribosomal RNA", at positions 355 to 695 of the family's 1533-position model. The record is from RNAcentral.